Molecule: transfer RNA, 67 nt
Filed under: Boodlea composita
Lineage: Eukaryota; Viridiplantae; Chlorophyta; Ulvophyceae; Cladophorales; Boodleaceae
Description: tRNA-Ala
Source: RNAcentral
GGCAUCUUCAUAAAGAAGGUGGGGCUUGCAAACACCGGGAUGUUGCUCACGAUUCAACGAUGAGCCA